ACCCCCUGCCGUGCCCGGCCCAAACAAAACACAACAUCGACAAAACGCCCCGUCAAGCAAUUUGCUGUAAGACAACCAAGGAAAUCGUUUCAACCACUAAAACCAAGACUUGGCUCCCAAGCAUUCUUUAAUAUGAGAUAUUUCUGGGACGGCUCAAUUUCAGAAACAUUAACAUAAUGGCCAAUAUCCAUUUCGCUGACAUUGGCAUUCUCGGUAUUCACAUUGGCAUUCUCGGUAUUCACAUUGGCAAUCUCGGUAUUCACAUUGGCAAUCUCGGUAUUCACAUUGGCAAUCUCGGUAUUCACAGACAGCUACACCUGAUGACGCCGCGUACUCACUUUCCAAAACCUUACACGAUUUCGCAGUUUUAUUUGAUGUACUGCUGGCGUUAUCAGACGGAGAAAAAAAGGACGAGAUGGCUGCCUGUCUACGGAUGGUUUUCUUUGCUGGCAUUUUUCUUAACUUGAUCGAUAUUUCGCUUAUUAAAUAAAUACUUUCGUUUAUGAAAUAAAUACAAGUAAGUUCA
Molecule: non-coding RNA, 526 nt
Organism: Ciona intestinalis (vase tunicate)
Lineage: Eukaryota; Metazoa; Chordata; Ascidiacea; Phlebobranchia; Cionidae
Source: RefSeq, a predicted model, not a curated record